This 470-nucleotide ribosomal RNA is filed under the name Streptococcus mitis. RNAcentral's name for it is "bacterial SSU rRNA". It matches the Rfam family "Bacterial small subunit ribosomal RNA", at positions 28 to 483 of the family's 1533-position model. Lineage: Bacteria; Bacillati; Bacillota; Bacilli; Lactobacillales; Streptococcaceae. The record is from RNAcentral.
GACGAACGCUGGCGGCGUGCCUAAUACAUGCAAGUAGAACGCUGAAGGAGGAGCUUGCUUCUCCGGAUGAGUUGCGAACGGGUGAGUAACGCGUAGGUAACCUGCCUGGUAGCGGGGGAUAACUAUUGGAAACGAUAGCUAAUACCGCAUAAGAGUAGAUGUUGCAUGACAUUUGCUUAAAAGGUGCAAUUGCAUCACUACCAGAUGGACCUGCGUUGUAUUAGCUAGUUGGUGGGGUAACGGCUCACCAAGGCGACGAUACAUAGCCGACCUGAGAGGGUGAUCGGCCACACUGGGACUGAGACACGGCCCAGACUCCUACGGGAGGCAGCAGUAGGGAAUCUUCGGCAAUGGACGGAAGUCUGACCGAGCAACGCCGCGUGAGUGAAGAAGGUUUUCGGAUCGUAAAGCUCUGUUGUAAGAGAAGAACGAGUGUGAGAGUGGAAAGUUCACACUGUGACGGAUCUACC